UUUGUCUUCCCGGAGAGCCUUCACGCAGGAUGCUGUGUUCUGUGCUCUUUUGUGAAUGUCUGUGGCUGAUAACUGCUUAUGCUCAUGAUGAUGACUGGAUUGACCCCACAGACAUGCUUAACUAUGAUGCUGCUUCAGGAACAAUGAGAAAAUCUCAGGUGAAGUAUGGUAUAUCAGAGAAAGAAGAGGUCAGUCCUGACUUAUCACAUGCUGAUGAAUUGUCAGAAUGUUACAGCAGACUUGAUUCUUUAACUCAUAAGAUCGAUGAGUGUGAAAAGCUGAAGAGAAAAGACUAUGAAAGUCAAAGCAAUCCUGUUUUUAGGAGAUACUUAAAUAAGAUUUUAAUUGAAACCAGAAAGCUUGGCCUUCCUGAUGAAAACAAAGGUGAUAUGCAUUAUGAUGCCGAGAUUAUCCUUAAAAGACAAACCUUGUUAGAAAUACAAAAGUUUCUCAGUGGAGAGGAUUGGAAGCCAGGAGCCUUGGAUGAUGCACUAAGUGAUAUUUUAAUUAAUUUCAAGUUUCAUAAUUUUGAAACAUGGAAGUGGCAAUUUGAAGAUUCCUUUGGAGUGGAUCCGUAUAAUGUAUUGAUGAUGCUUCUGUGUCUGCUCUGCAUCGUGGUGUUAGUAGCUACUGAGCUGUGGACGUAUGUUCGUUGGUACACCCAGUUGAGACGUGUUUUAUUCAUCAGUUUUCUCAUCAGUUUGGGAUGGAAUUGGAUGUAUUUAUAUAAGCUAGCCUUUGCCCAGCAUCAGGCUGAAGUUGCCAAGAUGGAGCCAUUAAACAAUGUGUGUGCUGAGAACAUGGAUUGGACUGGAAGUCUCUUGGAGUGGCUUAGAAGUUCAUGGACCUAUAAGGAUGACUCAUGCCAAAAAUACUAUGAGCUCUUAUUAGUCAACCCUAUUUUGUUGGUCCCACCAACAAAGGCACUAGCAGUUACAUUUACCAACUUUGUCACGGAGCCAUUGAAGCAUAUUGGAAAAGGAGCUGGUGAAUUUAUUAAAGCACUCAUGAAGGAGAUCCCAGUGUUACUACACAUUCCAGUGCUGAUAAUUAUGGCAUUAGCUGUCCUGAGUUUCUGCUAUGGUGCUGGAAAAUCAGUUAAUAUGCUGAGACAUGUGGGUGGUCCUGAAAGAGAACCACCCCAGGCACUUCAGCCAGGUGAAAGAAGAUGGCAGCAGGAAAUUGAUUAUAGACCCCGUGGUGGAGCAGGUGAUGCAGAUUUCUAUUAUAGGGGCCAAACGGGCCCCAUUGAGCAAGGCCCUAAUGACAAAACAUGUGAGGGUAGAAGAGAUGUUUUGAGAGAGAGAGAUGUUGACUUGAGAUUUCAGACUGGCAACAAGAGCCUUGAAGUGCUUCCGGCAUUUGAUUUACCAGACGCAGAGGCGAGAGAGCAUCCCAAGGUGGUACCCAGUCAUAAAUCACCUAUUUUGGAUACAAAGCCCAAAGAAAUUGGUGGAAUCUCAGGAGAAAGCACACUGAAUGAAAGCAGCCAGUCUGCUAAGCCUGUCUCUGGCCAAAAGAUACCAGAGAGUGUGGAAGGUUCCCCUGCAGUGGAAAAGGCCCAGCUCAGGACUGACGCCACAGGUGGCCCAGAGGAAGGCAGCACGUCCAGCCCAGCAAGCACCACAGUGAGGUUGUGUGGAAGGGAUCCAGACUGCAGCCCAUGUGGCUAGAGGAACACAGACAUGGACCACAGCUCUGAGGUCAUCUUUGGGUUUUGUAAAGUAUACUCUUCACAGCUAUUUCUUCUUCUCUACAAAUAUUCUGUUAUUUACUACACAGAUAACCAUUUGGGGAUGAAAUCUACUUUGACAGCAAGGCAGCAAGGUACUGCUGUUGAAAGGUGACAGCAAUUCAGGGAAGACUUAUUAAAGCAAAUUGAACAUAUCAAAGCCAGUUUAUAACUAGAAGAAACAGGCUUGUUUAUUGUCUAGCCAAUAUUUAUCAUUAAAAUUAAGGAUUAUAGUAAGGAGCUUUUAGGAAAAUCAGAGUGGGGCAGAUAGCUUUUCAAAAGCAGUUUUUAAGUGGAAUGGAUAAUGCUGAAUGUUUACAGGGUCUGAGAACUACCAUAUACACAAAAUAAACACUUAUUUUUACAU
This is a non-coding RNA of Kogia breviceps (pygmy sperm whale), 2099 nucleotides long. The record is from RefSeq and is a predicted model, not a curated record. NCBI's taxonomy places the organism in Eukaryota, Metazoa, Chordata, Mammalia, Artiodactyla, Physeteridae.